Amphimedon queenslandica is the source of this 276-nucleotide long non-coding RNA. RefSeq lists it as uncharacterized. NCBI's taxonomy places the organism in Eukaryota, Metazoa, Porifera, Demospongiae, Haplosclerida, Niphatidae. The record is from RefSeq and is a predicted model, not a curated record. The transcript is spliced from 2 exons.
CUUAUUAUUCUCUCGUGGGUCCUUCUCGCUAUAUUGUUCACUUGUGGGUCCUUCUCACUGUUAUUCUCUCGUGGGUCCUGCUUAGUGUUGUUCACUUGUGGGCCCUUUCACUAUUGUUUUCUUGUGGAUCCUGUUAUUAGUCUCUCGUGGGUACUGCUCAGUAUAUUAGACAGUUCUCUGGAUCCUAGCUGCUAUUUUUUUCUCACCUGAAUUAAAGCACAUAUUUUACUUGAUCCUGACUCUAUAUGCAAGUGUUUAUCUUUUGUCUUGUUGCUC